This 497-nucleotide ribosomal RNA is filed under the name uncultured bacterium. Its description in RNAcentral is "partial 16S ribosomal RNA". It matches the Rfam family "Bacterial small subunit ribosomal RNA", at positions 28 to 507 of the family's 1533-position model. The record is from RNAcentral.
GAUGAACGCUGGCGGCGUGCCUAAUACAUGCAAGUCGAGCGAACAGACGAGGAGCUUGCUCCUCUGACGUUAGCGGCGGACGGGUGAGUAACACGUGGAUAACCUACCUAUAAGACUGGGAUAACUUCGGGAAACCGGAGCUAAUACCGGAUAAUAUAUUGAACCGCAUGGUUCAAUAGUGAAAGACGGUUUUGCUGUCACUUAUAGAUGGAUCCGCGCCGCAUUAGCUAGUUGGUAAGGUAACGGCUUACCAAGGCAACGAUGCGUAGCCGACCUGAGAGGGUGAUCGGCCACACUGGAACUGAGACACGGUCCAGACUCCUACGGGAGGCAGCAGUAGGGAAUCUUCCGCAAUGGGCGAAAGCUCGACGGAGCAACGCCGCGUGAGUGAUGAAGGUCUUCGGAUCGUAAAACUCUGUUAUUAGGGAAGAACAAAUGUGUAAGUAACUAUGCAUGUCUUGACGGUACCAAAUCAGAAAGCCACGGCUAACUACGUG